Molecule: ribosomal RNA, 465 nt
Filed under: Vreelandella stevensii
Lineage: Bacteria; Pseudomonadati; Pseudomonadota; Gammaproteobacteria; Oceanospirillales; Halomonadaceae
Description: partial 16S ribosomal RNA
Rfam family: Bacterial small subunit ribosomal RNA
Source: RNAcentral
CCUACGGGUGGCUGCAGUGGGGAAUAUUGGACAAUGGGCGAAAGCCUGAUCCAGCCAUGCCGCGUGUGUGAAGAAGGCCUUCGGGUUGUAAAGCACUUUCAGUGGGGAAGAAAGCCUUGGGGCUAAUACCCUCGAGGAAGGACAUCACCCACAGAAGAAGCACCGGCUAAAUCCGUGCCAGCAGCCGCGGUAAUACGGAGGGUGCGAGCGUUAAUCGGAAUUACUGGGCGUAAAGCGCGCGUAGGCGGUCUGAUAAGCCGGUUGUGAGAGCCCCGGGCUCAACCUGGGAACGGCAUCCGGAACUGUCAGGCUAGAGUGCAGGAGAGGAAGGUAGAAUUCCCGGUGUAGCGGUGAAAUGCGUAGAGAUCGGGAGGAAUACCAGUGGCGAAGGCGGCCUUCUGGACUGACACUGACGCUGAGGUGCGAAAGCGUGGGUAGCAAACAGGAUUAGAUACCCCAGUAGUC